RNAcentral lists this ribosomal RNA (590 nucleotides) under uncultured Nitrosospira sp. RNAcentral describes it as "bacterial SSU rRNA". It matches the Rfam family "Bacterial small subunit ribosomal RNA", at positions 62 to 650 of the family's 1533-position model. Lineage: Bacteria; Pseudomonadati; Pseudomonadota; Betaproteobacteria; Nitrosomonadales; Nitrosomonadaceae. The record is from RNAcentral.
UCGCACGGCAGCACGGGGGCAACCCUGGUGGCGAGUGGCGAACGGGUGAGUAAUGCAUCGGAACGUGUCUUCGAGUGGGGGAUAACGCACCGAAAGGUGUGCUAAUACCGCAUAAUCUCUACGGAGAAAAGCAGGGGAUCGCAAGACCUUGCGCUCUUGGAGCGGCCGAUGUCUGAUUAGCUAGUUGGUGAGGUAAAGGCUUACCAAGGCGACGAUCAGUAGCUGGUCUGAGAGGACGACCAGCCACACUGGGACUGAGACACGGCCCAGACUCCUACGGGAGGCAGCAGUGGGGAAUUUUGGACAAUGGGGGAAACCCUGAUCCAGCCAUGCCGCGUGAGUGAAGAGGGCCUUCGGGUUGUAAAGCUCUUUCAGCCGGAACGAAACGGUCACGGCUAAUACCUGUGACUACUGACGGUACCGGAAGAAGAAGCACCGGCUAACUACGUGCCAGCAGCCGCGGUAAUACGUAGGGUGCAAGCGUUAAUCGGAAUUACUGGCGUAAAGCGUGCGCAGCGGUUUUGUAAGUCAGAUGUGAAAUCCCCGGCUUAACCUGGGGAACUGCGUUUGAAACUACAGGCUAGAGUGUG